CAAGGAUAUCCCUACCGGCCUAACCCGGGCGACGCUAGGCCAAUUGUGCGUCGCCCCUUGGACCUCCCAGUCGCAGCCGGAUGCGAACCCAGAGUCUGGUGGCACUGCGAUGCCUUCGACCACUGCGCCACCCGGGAGGCCCACAAGUUAUAUUUUACGUUGAACAGAACACACACCACACCAAUGUUUCACACAUGAAACCAAAGGAAUGCCAAGUAGAUUUGAACCUUGAGUUUGUCUUGGCUGCAGUAGUGUCAUUGAUUCUACUCAUCGCUAGAUGGCGCUGUUGUCUUUCCCAUAUGAUUGCACACAAAGAACCAGAACUACAAGAUCACUGGACCGUAGACCGCAGUGCUGAAAUGAAGCAACAGCAGCUGUGAAAUGUAUAAUUUGGAGACUACAGGCUACUAAAUGCAGUAAUUUUCUUGUCAAGACGAGACGACCUCAAACUUGAAAUGACACACACGUCUAAGAGAGGCUGAGGACAGAGGUGUCAGAGG
This is a long non-coding RNA of Oncorhynchus tshawytscha (Chinook salmon), 500 nucleotides long. Lineage: Eukaryota; Metazoa; Chordata; Actinopteri; Salmoniformes; Salmonidae. The record is from Ensembl.